UACGUAGGGUGCAAGCGUUGUCCGGAAUUAUUGGGCGUAAAGAGCUUGUAGGCGGUUUGUCGCGUCUGCUGUGAAAAUCCGGGGCUCAACCCCGGACUUGCAGUGGGUACGGGCAGACUAGAGUGUGGUAGGGGAGACUGGAAUUCCUGGUGUAGCGGUGGAAUGCGCAGAUAUCAGGAGGAACACCGAUGGCGAAGGCAGGUCUCUGGGCCACUACUGACGCUGAGAAGCGAAAGCGUGGGGAGCGAACAGG
RNAcentral lists this ribosomal RNA (253 nucleotides) under uncultured bacterium. RNAcentral describes it as "partial 16S ribosomal RNA". It matches the Rfam family "Bacterial small subunit ribosomal RNA", at positions 524 to 776 of the family's 1533-position model. The record is from RNAcentral.